This 590-nucleotide long non-coding RNA is filed under the name Lupinus angustifolius (narrow-leaved blue lupine). RNAcentral describes it as "long non-coding RNA (LANG_LNC003727)". Lineage: Eukaryota; Viridiplantae; Streptophyta; Magnoliopsida; Fabales; Fabaceae. The record is from RNAcentral.
UCGAACUUCCAGUGUUAAUCAAAUCCAACAAAAUUAAUUGAUCAAUGGCAAAAAACGCACUCCAAAAAAACUAAAUCGUCAAAACAAGCCCCUUCAUAAAUCUGUGCAGCUGAGUAUCGCGACUUUAUAAUAUAUUGAUUGUUUGUUCUAUGAAAGAGCAUGAUAAAAUAAAACAAGUAAUAUAAUUAUUAGAAUAGAUACAGAACUAAUUGAUCUAAUUACUUUUUACCCAGCUUGUAUCUUCUUUCCAGUAACCCUUUUAAGCAAUCUCCUUCCGGUUCAUGUUAAAACUACUUUUCCUAUUUUAAACAUCCGCACAAACCUAUUAAACAAUGCCAAACACCAAAAGCAGUCAGAACCAGAAAUUCCAUCAAAAUGUUUCUUCAAAUUAGCCAAGAUCUUGCCCUUAAACCUUUGACUUCGUUAUUCCAACAUAACCUAAAAUCACAAGUUUGAAAAACAUUUGCAAAAUUAAGAAAGGUUUAGUUACCUAUCCCAUCAUCCAGAGCACAAGGGGAACUUAUCAAGUCAAGCAAAUGAUGAAGGCUCUUUACAUUAAUAUUAUUAACUGCCUAGUUUUUGUACAAUCU